GAGUAGUAAAUGUUUUGGGCAGGAAACUUAAAGAAUUUGGCGGUGUAUAUUCUAAAUAGAGGAAUAUGUUUUUGAAUUGAUAAUCCCCAAGUAUUUUACUUAUAUUUAUUUAUUUUGUAUAUCUCCGUCUUAAAAAACCUUUUUAAAAUAUUUUUU
Molecule: ribosomal RNA, 156 nt
Filed under: Trichadenotecnum sp. Tiger11
Lineage: Eukaryota; Metazoa; Arthropoda; Insecta; Psocodea; Psocidae
Description: partial 12S rRNA
Source: RNAcentral